CCCCUAGAUGUUCUGGGCCGCACGCGCGCUACACUGAACAGUUCAACAAGUCUUAACCUUGGCCGAUAGGUCUGGGUAAUCUUUGAACGCUGUUCGUGAUUGGGAUAGAUCUUUGCAAUUAUGGGUCUUCAACGAGGAAUUCCUAGUAAACGCAAGUCAUCAGCUUGCAUUGAUUACGUCCCUGCCCUUUGUACACACCGCCCGUCGCACCUACCGAUUGAAUGGUCCGGUGAAAUCUCGGGACGGCGGCUUGGUCGCUUGCGUCCGACUGCUGAAACUUGAUUAAACCAUAUCAUUUAGAGGAAGGUGAAGUCGUANCA
RNAcentral lists this ribosomal RNA (320 nucleotides) under uncultured eukaryote. RNAcentral describes it as "partial 18S ribosomal RNA". It matches the Rfam family "Eukaryotic small subunit ribosomal RNA", at positions 1470 to 1796 of the family's 1831-position model. The record is from RNAcentral.